AUAAAAAAAUCAAUAAAUUUAUUUUUUUAUUUUUUUUAAUGGCAUUUUUUUAUUGGCAU
This 59-nucleotide non-coding RNA is filed under the name Allorhizobium ampelinum S4. The record is from RNAcentral. Lineage: Bacteria; Pseudomonadati; Pseudomonadota; Alphaproteobacteria; Hyphomicrobiales; Rhizobiaceae.